Molecule: long non-coding RNA, 1923 nt
Organism: Danio aesculapii
Lineage: Eukaryota; Metazoa; Chordata; Actinopteri; Cypriniformes; Danionidae
Exons: 2
Source: RefSeq, a predicted model, not a curated record
UUCGGGACACUUCAUGUUUCUGCCGCACCACAGAGAGUGUCUGGUGUGCCGUGUCGCGGCUUCGAGCGGCGCAUCCGGUGCCUCAGUCAAAGUUAAUUCAGUGUGCGUGGUUAUUAGUUUCUGUGUACAAGCUCGGCACUUGAAACUAGCACACAGUUGGCUGUAAAACUGUACAAAGACACAAAUGAUUUUGUACUCUACUCUCUGCUUGGUCUGUGUCCGAGUCGUAUAUGUACGACUGAAUGGUGAUCCUCUCUCUCCUUCUCGCAGUCUGCCUGUCAGACUCUGUUGCAAAUGCAGAGCGGGUGAGCUCAUGGCCCCGCCCCCUUGUUACGUUGGCGGGAAGCCGAAACUAAUUUACAUGUGAAGCAACACACCCAUAAAUCAGCGAGCUGUGGACACGCCCCCAACAUGACACUUUUUAACAAAUUAUAAUAAAAAAAUCUGAAUUGUGUUUUAAACUGAACCUAAACUGGCACACUCAGAAGAACCAUAAUAAUAAUAUUAAAUCAUAAAAAAGAGGUAAACUAUGUGCCCUUUAAUAAUAAGGUAAUAGUGAGAUUUGAUACUUAAACUAAAGCGUUACAGACACUUUCAAUUUAAACAACCUCAGAAAUCACAAACCGGCUCGUGUUUGGUGUAGAUUUUGUGACUCGUCCCAAAUAAUGCAUUCAUAGUCAGUCUUGUCUACAUGGUAAUCUUCGUUGUGAGAAAGGUUUGAAGGGAUUUACACACAGUCCUCAUUCAGGCAAAUCAUUGUCGUUUGAAUUAAAUGCAGCUAUUUACAUGAAAACAAAUUAUUUUACAUGAUGUUUGUUUACCAUCUACACAUACCCAGUGCACCAUUUGGGACAGGACUUAGAAGUUUAUACGCUUCCUCAAGUGCAUUAUGGGUAAAGUCGAAGUGUUAGAAGAUUGAUUCAGGGUAAAGUCUAAAAGGGAUACAGCUGCGGUUGCUCACAUCAAUAAACAGCAUAAUUGUUGUGACUGUGAUAUUUUUAAAGUACUGUGAGGGUUGAGUAAACGUUAAUAAAAUACAAUUUAAUGCUUAAUUUAAUAAACGAUAUGAAUAAUACUCUGUAUAAUUGCUGUUUUUACAUUACUGUGAUGGUUGGAGUAGGGGUAGACGUUAAUAAAAAUCAAUUUAAUGCGUAAUUUAUUAAAUAAUAUCAAUAAUACUAUAGUAUAAUGACUGCUUUUGCAUUACUAUGAUGGUUGGGUUGGGGUAGACGUUAAUAAAGUACAAUUAAUGCACAAUUUUAUAUUCUCCUCAACUUUCGUCCGCAGCUGUAUCCCUUCCAGCAAUAAUUGAAACUCAGUGCGAUUUCUAUCACGAACACAAGGUUAAAUGCUUCCAGCAAGCGAAGACGAUAAUUUAUGAAGCUAUAAUGAGAAACAACACAACGCCAUAGACCUCCAGCAAGCGGCCAGUAUGUGCGUUUUGUCUGAAAAAUCCGCCAUGAGUUCACAUUCGCCUCAGUUAGUUUGUUCAGUUUUUUUCUGUAUUUCUGAGCCGAUCACACUGGACGAAUACUUACAUUAAGUUUGAGUUAUUUAUGUAGCUAACUAUAUAUUUCUUUAACAUGUCACGCUGUAUUUUAAAUGUAAAACUCGUUCAAGGUUUAGAAAUGUUUUCUGCAGUCUGAUUAUUUGUUAUGUCGGUUGUUUUUUGCGUUAAUGUUGUUUAUCAUUUGUUUGUUAUGAAGGUUUACCAUACACAAAACCCCUUCAUUUCAUAUCUACUUCUUUAAAUGUCUUUGGUUGUUUUUACGAAACAACAAGGAUUGCAUUAUUGACUGUUUUCUUUACGUUUUAAUUAUUUUACUGUCCUGCACACAACCUACUGCAGGACAAAUGUGUCAAAUGUUCUCCACAAAGACAUUUGUUUACAGUGUUUAUUCAAUAAACGCUGCGCUCAUUUGU